Molecule: long non-coding RNA, 547 nt
Organism: Ochlerotatus camptorhynchus
Lineage: Eukaryota; Metazoa; Arthropoda; Insecta; Diptera; Culicidae
Exons: 3
Source: RefSeq, a predicted model, not a curated record
AUUGCUUUGUCGGAGAAUGUGAAUCGGUAUAGUCUAUUGUGAGUAGCUACUGCGGGAAGCGCGUUCUCGCUAGCUGUUGAAAAAAACCUACUAAGGAACAUGCUUCAGGCUAUUGAAGUGAAGUGAAUUAUGUGGUAUGCUUCCCAGGAUACGCCAUGUUAUGGAAUUGCCAAAAACCACGAAACCGAUUAUGGAUGUUGUGACUGAUCGAUGUUGAUCAAAUUGUUUCGUGGUUUUUGGUAAAGUACCAGCGACGAGCUUCACCCGCGAAAAGGAUGUAUGCUUGAUCAAGGAACCUGUCGUUUGGAAUCCGCUCAGCGAUGAUUAGUUCGUUCACCUGGAAAACGAAAUCCGAGACGUCCAUCCCAUGAGAAUCUCCGGUGAACUGGAUACACCAUUUAUCUAGGCGGUAAUGCUGGAAACGAUCAUCUCGUCUUCUGUAAUCCUGGGAUCUUUCCGUGAGAAUACUGGAGUCGGAAUCGGAGCUAGACUCUGAAGAGAGCAGACUGCUCAACGAAUCCAGGGAUGAACUUUCACCUUCUGAUGA